UUUUUUUUUUUUUUUGAAAGUGAUAGACAUGGAUAAAAAGAUAUACUACUAUUAUCAAUUGGUGGCCUAAGUUUAAUUUUUAGUAAGGUAUACAUACACUUUGAGUGCUUUUGAUAUAAUUGAAGUAUGAAAUCUGAAAUCUAAAACAUGAAUUGUUAAGUUGCUGAAUUGUUAAGUACUGAAAUUUUACAUUUGAGUAUAUCUUACGUUAAGUGAUAAGUGAAUAAUUUAUCACUUAUUGUUUUGAGUAAGUUUUGUCUAAAUAAUUCAGAGUCACGCAAUUAAGAAAGACGUUUUAUUUUUCUAUUAUUAAACACGUCUAAAAAUAUUAAGAUUUGAAUCUAUUAAAUUUAAAUGGUGAAUUGGGUUAUCAAAGACGCCCUUUGUUCUGUUCCAAGAUUUUUUUAGAUAACUGGAAUCCAGUCAAGAGUUUAUGGACUUUCUUUUGAUUGAAUACUGUGACAUGUUCAAGAGUCAUAAUUUUUAAUACAACCAUAAUAAGUUAACAAGUGUUAUGAUAUCUAAUUACUUUUGUGUCGUUUUAAUUUUAUUGUGUAAUGAGAUUCAUGCACACAUAUCUAUUGAAAUAUUCCUCUUCAAUUUGUUAGAUGGAUGCAGAAGAAUUGUGAUUUACAAGUAAAUUUUUUCCCCAAAUGAUGGAUAGUACUCUUAUUAUGGACAUGGACAUAUCCUUUUGUCAACAACAGUUAACACACACAUAGGAUUCUUGCAAUCAAAGGUAACAAAACUUUGUGAUUUUGACCUCGCAAAUCUCCAAUCACAAAUGAAUGGGAUUCUUGCAAUCAAUUCACCUAGGAUUCUUGCAACUCUGCAAUUACAGCUAAGAGUGAGAUAAAUUUGCAAACUAGAUGGCAAAACUUCCGCUGACUUUUCACGUUUGCCAUGUUUUAGCAGGGAUUGGAAAUUGAUGGGAUCUGUGGACCCUUUCCAUGUAGGAUAAGCAAACGUGGGGUCAUGCUGAUCCACCGUUCAGCCGACUUUAGUCGGCUAAUCUCCAUGAAAACUCAUCCAUUUCUGCUCAGACAAAUCUCAUUAGAUCAAAAAAGGUGUUCUGACAAUUCAUUUAGAUUUUUUUUUUAUUAUAGGUGGAGUUCGAAUCUCCCAUUUACGGUUCAAAAAGGGACUCUUUGAAUAGCCAUUGAUGCAAAGCUUAGUGGUUAGCAUCAGCUCUCCUAAUGGGGGCUGUUCCUAUGGAGUGGUGGAGACAGAUCAAUCAAUCUUAUUAAUUCACCAAAAUCAUCUUGAAUGGCAGGAAGCAGUCAAAGAAAAGAGCCCUGAUCAAACGGAGGUUCUACCUGAAUUAAUAUCAAAUGUUUAUGCGUUAAAAGACGGAGAAAUUAGUUGUUUUUAGUCGGUAAUUGUGACAUGAGAAAUUCUAGAUUAAUGCUACUUGAAGAACGUCUAGAGGGAAUCAUGCCAUGACCACCCUUCUGUCACGUUGUCAUCCAGCAAUUCAUUUGAUGACAAAGCAAUCAUUCUAAUAAUCAAGUACGAAUUCAUGGCUUUUGAUUUUAAAUAAUACAACAAUAAAAAAGGAGAAUGAGACUUUUACUUUGAUUUAUGUUUUUGGCGAUGAAAAAUUAAUUGAGACGUCUUACUUACUAAUUAUAGUCGCAUGCAUCAAAUGUUAACCUAGUACUAUUAUUCAGCAGUUGUGAUCUAAGUUUCGUAACUUUUUCAAUUUGUAUGAGAGGGAUUAUACUCAAAAUCGUGUCCACUAACAUUGUGUAGUAACUAUCGACUAGGUUUUCAAUUUAUAGUGACUUUAGUAUUUCGAAUCAAGAUUUAGUUGUAAAUAUUAAGAGUCGAUACUAAAAAUGCGAAUAUAAACAAUGAAUUUAGAACGGGAGAAGCCGAAGACACUGAAUAUUGGGGAAAAAUGAUUUUCAAUUUAAUAUUUUAUAACAAGGAAAAAGAAAAAUAAUAAAAUUUUAUAAAAUAUACAUCACAUUUUUUAGUGUUACUAAACGUUUUAAACAAAAGAAAAGAUUAGAUGAUUUUUUCAUUGAUGUUAAAAUGGAAAACAGGAAAACCAUCGAAAUAGUCAACAAUCUUCUUUAGCCGAGCCCGUCGUCAUAAAUGUAUAUUAAUGGUUUGAACCAGAAUUGGAACCUUUGAUUAUGGUAUUGGUCCUUUUUUUUUUUUUGGAACUAAACCUUUACUUAGAGUUAGCUUAGUCAAGUAAUUUCUUUUUGAAAAAAAAAAAAACUUUUGAAAAGCAAGGACUUGGGAUUUGGGAAGGUGGAAAUAGGAAUGUGAAAUCCCACCCCCUAAAAAAAAAAAAGAAAAGAAAAGAGGAAGAGAAGUUAGAAAGAAAAAAAAACGAAGGCAAGGAACAUUCCAUAGAGCAAACCGUGAUCAAUUGGAACAGUUAAUAACGGAAAAAGAUUCUCUAUUUGGAUUGACCUAUUUUUCAAAAACUAAUUUUUCAAAUACAAUAUUUCAAUAAUGUACAAACAAAAAAAUAACUCAAAAAAUAUAUGAUUCAUACAAUAUAUCAAAAACAACUCACAAAUAUACACAAAAAAUUAAAAAAAAAAUAAAUUUUACAACAUUUUUCACCUAUCACCAUCACCAACCACCCACUAUCACCACCACUCCCUCCCUCCUCCUUUCUCCCCUCUUCCCCUUCCCUCUUCCUCCUCCCCACCCCCAGAUUGAGGCCUCUAGUCAUGACCAGUUCGUGACCGAAAGGUCACAACUUUUUGGUCAUGAUCUGGAGACCAAAGGCCUCUAUCUUGUCGAGACUAGAUCAAGAUCGAGAGGGAGAGGAGGGGCCGACGGGUGAGGUGAAGGGAAGAGGAGGAGGAAGAGAAAAGGGGAGGAGGAAAAUGAAGAAGGUAGUGGCGGUGGUGGGUGGGUAGAGAUAGUGGCUGUGGUGGUUGUGGGUAGUAGUAUUAAUUUUUAAAAAUAUGAUAAAAAUAUUUUAUUUUUAAAAGUUACUCCAAAAUAUAUUUCAAAAACCCUUCAAAAAAAUUACAAAAAUUACAGUAAAAGUUUUUUAUAUACAUUUCUAUAAUAAAAUAUUUCAAAAACACCCCAAAAAAUAGUUAAUCCAAACGGAGCCAACCGACAGUGAUAGAUUUGUAGUUUAUUAUGAAGAUAAACGAUUGUAAUUAAAAAACAAAGAUAAACGAUUGUUCCGCACUUCUUUUUUUCUUUAUUAUUAUUAUGUUGGAAGACUUGGUUUAAGAAUAAUGAGGUGUGUAUAUUUAGAGAAAUAACUAAACUUUUCUAUUGUGUAACGCCACUUUGGAAACUCUGAAAACAAUAUCAUAAUAAACUUUUUUCUUUAAUUCGAUUUUUUGUAUUUUAAAGUUUUUUUUCUUCUUCAAAGAUUUUAAACUUGCACCGACAACAAGGACAUGUCUAAAUGAUUUACAUCCAUUUCAAACAAGAAUUAGAGGAUACACGAUCGUGCGCACAGACUAUAUAUAUAUGUGUGUGUGUGUGUGUGUGCACUUAAUUAAAUUACCUAUUUUUUCUCUUAUAUUGGCAUACCUAAUUAAGAAAAGAUAAAAUUAAUGGGUCAUUUGAAUGCUUGGUUUUUACCCAUAUUUGUAUUGAACUCUUUUCAAGUUUAGUUUUUCUUACACUUUCUCUCUUAUGGUUCUCCUCGCUUCUAAUACUAUUAUCUUUUUGUUAAAUAGGUAUAAUUUUUUGUCAAUAUGGAUUAACUUUACCUAGUGUCAAGAAAAAUUUAUUUAUUGUGACUUGAACUGCUACGCUAAAUAAUUAAUUUUAUUGAUCAAAAUUGAUUAUUUGUUCAUGAGAAAAUGAAUUGUCAAAUUUUUUAUAUUUAAUUGAGUUCAAAUAUGUAGUUCUAGGUUUAUGGUCAUUAUAAAAAUUCUAAUUAUCUCAAAGAAUAUCUAUUUGAUUUGUCAGCAUGCAUUGUAGUAUUUGUUGAAUAUGAUAUUUUCUACAUUUAAUAUCACUGAAAUGUAGGAAUUUUGUCAAUGACAUUCAUACUUGUACAAAUUCACAAGUAAUAAAAAAAAGUGCUAAGGUGUAGGCUAAAUUCUAGUACUGUAGUCAACAUAUACUAACAAAAUCAUCAAUUAAAGAAUAGCACUAAUUCUUUUAUCUCUGUCUGUCUAUGUAGAUGUAGCAGGAAAAAAAAGCACAUUACUGGAGUUUGUCAUUAAAUCAAAUGUUUUCAAAAACAUAAUUUCAUGUAGGGAAGAAAUAAGUAGGUAAGUUUAGGAAAGAGUUGAAUUGGAUGGUAAGAUGAAAGAGAUUGUAAAUAGGACGUUUUGGAUUCAAAACCUUGACUUAUCAAAAAAAAAAAAAAGCUAACAAAAUGUAGGCGAGUCGACAAAUAAUCUAGGGUCCUGGCAAUGAAACGUCUAUUAGCUGACAUUUUCAUACUUGGACAAGGCAUAUAAAUUAGUAAGCUGCUCAGGCUUGAUAUAUAUAUAGGCAAUAAUAUAAACAUGAAUUUACACGUAUUAACAUAGUGAAUUAAUUUUUUUACACAAGUUCUUACGGGAAAGUAUAAAAGACAACUGUAAAGAAACACAACUCGAUAAAAUUGUUCGAGUUGUCUCUUCAAUUAUCAUGUCAACCACUACAUGGGGCAUUUGGUUGGCUUUUAUUCAUUAAACUGCAACUUGUAUUGAAAACGUGGUGAGAGAGUCGUCACAUGUUUCAAAAAAUGAAAAAAAAUCAGCAAAUAGAAGAAAUAGCAAUCGGUCUGGUUAAGUGAAAACGUGAUCCACAUUCGAUUUGAAUUUUUACCAUGAGAAGGAAAAUCAGUAACUUGUUCCCUUUUCUCCAUUGCAGAUUAUCACUACUCUAUAAAUACUUCAGGGUUUUUUACAAGUAACGCAACAAGAAACCGAGCAGUUUUUGCAUAACUUCUGAUGAUGUCGGGCAUGAGGGUUUUGAUCUUACAAGUUGUCGUCUUUCUUCUUUUGGGUGGUCUUUUACCUACCCAAGCUUUGAUCCAUAGAUAUAAGUUCGUGGUAAGUAUAAACUUAUUCUGUUUUAUUAGGAAGGUUACAAAUUACAUAUAAUGGCAUCCGAGGUAUCUUGAAUAUCCUUUGACUAGCCACCUAACCAGAAGUUUAUCUUUUCUUCUUUUCAUUUUUAUUUUUUUAACUUUUAAAAUUUUACUCUCUUACCCUUCUUUAAAAUAGCUUCCAGAGUUGCUACAUUAGUCCCAACUCCCAGUAAAAAGAUCACUAAUGAAGUUUGGCUUGCAUUUUCAGCUUUUGUAAUAUUAUCUUGCUUUGUAUACACAGGUAAAAGAAGCUCCAUAUACAAAACUAUGCAGCACCAAGAACAUUUUGACAGUAAAUGGUCAAUUUCCUGGACCAACUCUACGCCUUCGUCAAGGAGAUACAGCCUUUGUUCAUGUACACAACAAGGGAAAAGAAAGCAUCACCAUUCACUGGUAUGAUAAUUUUCUUCAUCUUUUCUUGGUCUCAAUAUUACGUGUUCUAAGAGAAGAUAAAGAGCUUAACUUUCUUUCCAGGCAUGGAGUAAAGCAGCCAAGAUUUCCAUGGUCAGAUGGUCCAGAGUAUAUUACGCAGUGCCCUAUGAGGCCAGGAACAAAUUUCACCCAAAAGAUUGUGCUGUCUGAUGAGAUUGGAACGUUGUGGUGGCAUGCUCACAGUGACUGGUCUCGAGCAACAGUUCAUGGUUUACUUGUUGUUUAUCCAAAGAAAGGGACUAGUUACCCAUUGGGGUUUCCAAAGCUUCAAGCAGAAGUGCCCAUGAUUUUAGGUAUAAUGGAAUUCAAAUCAUCUGCUGAGCGCUAAUAUUGAACUGGUCAAUAUAUGUGUGAUUGCCAAUCUUAAGCUGCCUCCUUUGCAAAAAAGUUAAAACAAGAAAAGGAAAGAUUCACCCAUUUAUAUGUUGAAAAACCUGUUAUUUUAACUCUGACUUAGUGCCAGUUUUACAUAAAGGAUCACUACAUUACUAGCGACAUUUUGAAAUUGCAUCUGUGAUUUGAAACUCGACAGAAUAGUGACUCGACCAAGCUCAAGAAUUGGAGCUCUUUCGAUCAUUUUGGCCAAGACCAAAAAACUAGAGAAUUGAAUGACCUCAUAGAAUUGAAUGAGCUCUUUCGACUAAACCAGAAAGUCAGAUCUGAGUUUCAAAACAUUGUAUGGAACGCUGUAAUGCACACCAUUGACUUCCAUAUAGGACAAAAUAAUUUGUUCAUGUAUUCAAGAAAUGGACACCUAAUUAUCUAAAGUGUUGAGAAUGGUGCAGGAGAAUGGUGGAAAAGUGAUAUACAGGAGGUUCUUAGCGAGUUUUCAAGCAGCGGGGGAGAACCAAAUGUCUCUGAUGCUUUCCUAAUAAACGGUCAACCUGGUCUUCUGUAUCCAUGCUCAAGACAAGGUAAACAAGAAUGGAAAUUGAACUCCUUUUCUCCCAUCUUCUUAUUGAAUUUCAUAAGAUCGAUCACAUUCUAUAGUAGCAUGACAUAUUUAUCCAAAUUCUACACUUGUAGUGAGAUAUAAUGUACAUAAUCUUUACUUGCAGACAGUUACAAGUUGACUGUGGAUUAUGGCAAGACUUACUUACUUCGAAUGGUUAAUGCUGCCAUGAACAACAUUCUUUUCUUUUCCGUAGCAAAGCAUCGGAUUACUGUUGUGGGAUCAGACGGAAGCUACACAAAGCCUUUAAAUAGUGGUUACAUUGCAAUAUCCCCCGGCCAAACCAUUGAUUUCCUGCUACAUGCCAAUCAAUCACCUAAUCUCUACUACAUGGCUGCUAAAGCUUAUAAUAGUGCCAGCUCUGUUACAUUCGACAACACAACCACCACAGCCAUUCUCGAAUACCGUGGAAAUUAUACUCCACCUUCAUCUCCAUCUUUCCCAAAUCUUCCGACUUUUAAUGAUACAAUUGCAUCAGCUAAUUUCACAGGGAGCCUUAGAAGCUUAGCGAGUAAAGAAUUCCCUGUUGAUGUCCCAAAAAAUGUUACCACUAAUCUUUUCUUUACACUCUCCAUAAAGUCACUUCCUUGUGAAACAAAUAACACCUGCAAGGGACCUCGAGGCAAUCGAUUCGCGGCAAGUGUAAAUAACAUGAGCUUUGUCAGCCCGAAGAUUGACAUACUUCAGGCUUACUAUAAUCAGAUCAAUGGAGUGUAUAAACCUAAUUUUCCUAGCUUCCCACCUUUGGUAUUCAAUUACACUGCAAGUAACAUUUCGGUUUCCCUACAAACGCCUACUCGAACAACCAAAGUGAAGGUUCUUGAGUAUAACUCGCAUGUGGAGCUUGUUUACCAAGCCACUAAUUUGGUAGCAGGAGUUGAUCAUCCCAUGCAUUUACAUGGACAUAGUUUUUAUGUUGUUGGAUGGGGAUUUGGAACCUUUGACAAGGACAAAGACCCUAAGAACUAUAACCUUGAGGACCCUCCUUUGAUGAAUACAAUUGCAGUUCCGAAGAAUGCCUGGACAGCCAUAAGAUUCAAGGCAAAUAACCCUGGUAAGCGUUAUAUUUAUUAUUAUUUUUUAUCAAGGAUAUUAGUUCUCAGUAAAACUUUGCAAAAAAAAAAAAUCAAACGCCUGCUUACCCCAUUUUUAUACCUAGCUACAGUCAUCACAAUGAAAGCAUGAGUUAGCGAGAUAUCAAUGUGUCCAUCUAGUUCUGAGUUUUUUUAAUUUCUGAUAUGUAUUCUGUUGAUCAUAUCGUUUUUUUAAAUUAACUUCGCUCAGGUCUCUGUAAAAUUAUGCAAAGCUGGUAUUUCUUGGGUGAUAAAUUCAUAAUCAUAGGAAUUUUCCACUCUUUUCAUUGUCAAAGAACAAUAAUUGAUGGAAAUCAAUUUUUGCACAGGCACACACUAUAUAUAUAUAUAUAUAUAUAUAUAUAUAUAUAUAUAUAUAUAUAUAUAUAUAUAUAUAUAUAUAUAUAUGUAAUAUGUAAUUGCAUCUCAUAAUUAAAAUUUGUGUACUUAUUGCAACUAUUAUAAUUGGAAAGGACAUACAAUCUCUUGCAGGAGUGUGGUUGAUGCAUUGCCAUCUUGAACGUCACAUAAGCUGGGGGAUGGAAAUGACCUUCAUUGUUAAAAAUGGAAAGCGUCCGCAGGAAAAAUUGCUGCCUCCACCUCCCGACAUGCCACUUUGCUAAUGUUGCUUAGACAAAGUAUUACAAGUCUUGGACUACUACGGUUUGCAGCGGCUCUAAAGUCAGCUUGUCAAUGAGGCACAAAAAUAAUGUAAACCUAGUUUCUUUCUUUAGUAUUUGCGAGUAAUCUUAAGUAGAUGGUGUGACUUCAGUCUCGUGAAUAAUAGUUUUUGGCACCUUCAAGAAUGAUACAAAAAAAAAAAGAAGAAAUAAAUCCAUGCAUCAAAUGUAGGAUGUAAUAUGUUACUAAAGAAAAAAAAAGGCUUAGUACGUUAUUUAAGUUCCUUUUUUUUGUUUAUGUUUGCUUACAUUUUGAAUGAAGUCAUGUUUACACUUGAUUGUGUAAUUCAUUGUGUUUCAAAUAGGGUGGUAAUUAUUAAUACAAAAGAACCUUCAGUUAUCUUUAGUUAUAUUUGUAUAAUGAUGACAAUAAGUAUAAAACAAAAAACUUCCUAACUAUCUACCCAGAGUUGCUAAAAAAAUAUUAAUAAAGUGAAAAUAUUAAUCUUGGUUCAGCAUUAAAACUUUAUUGCAAUUAUUGUGCUAAAUUCAUAUGAAAAUUUUUGGAUUCUACUCCAAUUUUAUUCUUGCAAAGAUUUCAAAUGAAAUUUUACUGAUUAUAUAAAGUUAUGGCAUUAUGAUGUGUUGAAGAAAAUUAUGAGAUUUUAAAAAUUACAAUAGUAGUCAUUCAAUAUUUUCAUAUUUUGCCUCCAUUUUGACUGCAGUAGUCUUAAUUCUCAUUCAAAGCGAAGUAGUAUAUAUAUUUUUUAUAUGUUAACAAUUAGACUUUUUGAUAUUAAGUGAAAAUCAGUCUAUUUAAAGUAUUAAUCUUUCCCACUAAAAUGGUAUUUUUUUGUCACUCUGUAAUAGAUGAUAAAUUGGUCAUUUCAUCAAUUACUUGGAUGAAAUUAAAUUUUGUAUUAUGUUUUAGUUGAUUGUGUACAGUGCCCAUUAAGAUACUUUAGGGUGUAAACGCAACUACUCUAAUAGUUCGUGGGACUUUUAUGCAAUUAACCCCAUAAUCUAAUCAAAUGAUACCCGAUCUUUUCAGAUUUUAUUCGGGCCGACUACGCACACGAUCUGACGUAUCUGGACUAACGGAUAGAAAGCUGGAAAUUGGACUUAAUUCGCAUCCCUGCGCUAACUCAAAACCCAAUUCUACCCACAACCGUGACAAUGAGCCCAACUACAGAGUCUCAAAAUCCAAUACCAAUAAGCCCAAGAUUUGCACUAAUUUGAUGUAUCCAGCCUCAAUCAGCAAAGAAAGUUCCACAGCCAAGAGAAUGAAAUAUAUUACGAAUGGGUUGAUUUUUAAAAAUAAUUUUUUAGAUUCAUGUUAAUGCGUGAUGUUGAUGAAGUGAAAAAGAAAAGUACUUUUUCUUUAUCUAAAUCUUUUGUGUCCAGAAUGAAAUAUUCUCCUUUUUCAUGGAGAAAAGUUUGCACAGUAUCUGAAUUUUUUUUUCCUGAUGACACUUCCAUAUUAGUGGCGUUCAGCAAUAAUUGGUGAUUUAGAUUAUUAAGGAAAUGGAGAAAAAAAAUUUCCAAUUUGACGUUAAUGCUGUUUCUUUUGCUUGUUUAUAAGCCUAAUAGAAAAAAAAAAAAGUUUAUCAGGCGAACAUUUGUGCAAAGUUGCAACAAGUUUAGCACUUAUUUCUAGCCCCAGUGACAUACUUGUCUUAUUUUACAUAUAUGUUCGUGGACGAAAUGCAGCCUAAUUCGUAAGACAAUUUACCUAUACUUAAGAGAUCUUGAGUUUGAGCCAUCAAAAAGAUAAGUGAAGAACUACUAGGUCCACUACUGAUCCAUGGAUUCUUUCAAAAACAAAUAAGCAAAAAAAAAAAAAAAUGAUUUAAGGAACGUGGGGGAAUUUGCACGCAUAAUAAAAAUCUAGAUGCGAGCUGCAUCUGGACGGUCUUCACCUGCAUAACAAGAAUUCUAAUUAUUCUAUACUAUUGCAGCUUGCUUGCACAGAAAUUGCCUUGCAACUUGCUUGCCCGAACAAUUGCAUAGAAAUUGCCUAUAAAAGUGCAAUAUACGUAAUCACGGUCUUAAUGAUUUUGUCGGGCUGCUGACCUUUCGAUUAAAUUAGUGACAUUGCAAAUAUCUUGUGUUGUGUUAGUCCUCGGACUACUUAAUUACAACUCACUUUGGGCAAAUGUGGCGUGUGUUACUUCAUUUUUUGUUAGGUUCAUAAUCAGGAAAUUAUGUUCCACAUUGAUUUUAAAAGUGGAGAAAUUACGCUUAGUAUGUAAAUGAGGGUUCAAGACCUAACAAUUUAAACAUUUGGAUUAACGUUAAGUUCCUAACUUACGUAUUGGACCUCUUUAACAAGUGACUUAAUAUGUAAUUAAAAUGUAAGUAAGAGUUCGGAACCCAACAAGUUAAACUCUUGGCUCAAGAUAAUCUUUUGGACGAAUUUAACACUUAAGUAAGUAAGAAUUUGAAACCUAAUCAUUUAAACUUUUGAAUCAACGUUGGGAAUCUUUUGGACUAACACUGAAUUCCUAACUUGUAUAUUGCACCUCUUUUAGUGUUUCUUCCUAACAGUACUUUAGUUAUCUUUACGAAGCCAAGGCAAUGUUCUUGACUUACAGAUUGCACCUCUUUGAGUGUUUCAUCCUAACAAUUUUUGAGUUAUUUUUACGAAGCCAAGGUCGGAGAACGCAGACAAGAAGCUGUAAGGUCGGAGAAUGCAGACAAAAAGCUGUAAUUGAGAGAAUCAGUAGGUGAACCAAAAGACCAUACUACUGAAGCUCUCGUCCCAAAUAGAAUGAUUUUUAAGGGCGUCCCAUUUGCUGAGACUGUUACCGAUUUUUUGGUUGGAAAGUAGUCAAAAGCAUGCUUCUAGUCAAGCAGUUCACACAAAAAUUUCUCAGCAACUCGGUUUACAAUUUAAAAACUGAUCACAUGUUAUUUUCUAUAGUGUUGUUUCAAAAAAAAAAUGAAGAAUAAGAAGAAGAAGAAGAAAGAAAGAAAGUAUUGAACUCAUAUUGCUGUGGAACUGGAUUAGACCUUUUCCUCAUCUUUAGGUCCAACGAAUUUGUACAAUCUGAUUUAUACAUUUUUAUUACUAGUUUGUGCACCCCGGUGAAUAAAAAAGUUUAAGCUUCACCUUCUACCAAUUCAACGUUCUAAUUUGAACUCAGUUAUACUUUAAUCAGCAAUUUUUAUAUCUCAAGUUGAAAGCCAUUCAAAAGGAUGACAUGUAAUCAAAAUUGAAGGAAAUAAUUUUGACACGAAAGCAAUGGCGUGUCUAAGGUGUUUUGACCACAUUUUUCCUUCAUUACGAAAGAUUGAAAGAUUCAAGAUUGGGAGCAAAGAGAGUUGGAUUCAGUCCUGCUUAUCUGUUUAGUCAUACUGACCCAAAAUUGACAUGUAGUUAGAUUCAGGAUUUACCAUAUACUAGGAGAAUUAAUAUUGUACAAUGAGACACCAAUUUUAUAUACUACGAUAAAUUAGGAUGCACAGACGCAUGAGUUAUAGACAAAAUGUUCGCAUGUAUUCACGAGUCUUCAACUUCAUAUAUAUUAAAACCUCUUUAGCUGAAGACUAGAUUAUGCCGUCUUCAGUGGUGAUCCCCGAAUCUUUGUUGCUUAAUAUAAAAUGCAGUUGUCACUCUCUAAACUUAAAGCUUGUUAAAGCGAGUUUGUUUAAGCUAUUGAUUUGAACUUUGAGCUAUUUGAAAGUUUCCAUGCUUUUGGAGGCAGCUGAUAAAUUGAUUUUCAAAAGCAAGAGUUCAUCUUAAAUUUCGCCUCUACUACGAGGGAAAAUCUAAUGAAAUCUUCUGUGAUGAUGACAAUCGAAGUAACCACAACCAGGCGUGCAAGUUCCAGCUGGUUUAAACUUGCUUUUGGUAUAUAUAUAUAUAACGCACUUUACAAUCCCACUAGUAUUUGGCAAAAUUCCUCUUUGUCGACCAUUUUGCUUAAUUGGAAAAUGAUAUGAAAAUUCUAGCCUGUAUUUUAGAAGACAAACUACGAAAUUUUGGAGAAAAAAUAGCUCAUUUUGUCUGUGGUGGAGGAUCAUGGGCGUGAAUGUGUGUUAAGUUUUUCCCACAACAAUUGUAAAAGGGGCAAGAUGCUUGGUUAUAAGUAAAAGAAAAAGCCCCAUGCUUUGAGUUAGCUUUUGGGGUGAGAAGCACCCAACACUGAUAUCAAAAUCUGAUUAUAAUGCCUCCUUCCAAUAGACACUCAGAUGAAAUAUUGAUUUGUCCCUAUCCAGUACUCGUCGGAUGAUAGAUUGAUGAUAUGAUCAAACUUAAGGGCCCGAUGCGCGAGGGAAAAGCUAGCCUCAUCCCUUAAGCUAGUUUUUUCCAGUAAAGACUCGGAUAAAAUGUUGCUCAUCGGAUAAAAGAUUGAUGUGAUUCCAACCUAGUACUCGUCGGAUGAAAAGUUGGUGCUGUUCGAACCAAAGGCCCAAUGUAUAAGGGGGAGACUAUUGAGUUUAUCCCACUGGGAUGGGAAGGUCUAAUAGCACCCAACAUUGGUAUCAAAACCUAGUUAUGCCAACUCCCCCAAUAAACACUUAGAUGAAAUAUCGCUCGUUGGAUAAAAGGUUGAUGUUGUCCCAAUCUAGUACCUAUCUAAUGAAAGGUUGAUGCUAUUUCAACCUAGGACUUGAUGUGUGAGGGAAAAAUUAUUGAAUUUAUCCCACAUCAAUUGCAAAAGGAAUAGGAUGCUUAAUUAUCAAUGAGAGGAAAAACUUCACUCCUUGAACUAGUUUUUAGGGUAGGAAGGCCCAAUAGUACCUAACACUAGUAUCAAAGUCCAGUUACGAUGACUACCUCAGUCAACACUCUCGGAUCAGCCCAUGGAAAGAUUGUGAUAGGAUGGGAAGAUUGUUGAGCUUACCUUAUCGUCAGAUGAUAGGUUGAGAUAGGAUGUUUAGUUAUAAGUGUAAGAUACCUGUUGGAUGAUAGGUUGAUGAUCUGAUCCAAUCUAAGGUCCAAUAUAUGAGAGGGGAGAUUAUUGAGUUUAUCCAUAUAGCUAAGGUCCGAUGUAUGAGAGGGGAAAAUGUUGAAUUUUAUCUGAGGGGUGUGGCUUUUCCUUACACUACCACUUCGAUAGCUGAUAUACGAUAAAGUCAACAAUCUCCCCCUUAUAGCUUAACAAUCUCCCCCUUAUCCUACCUAAAGUCAACAGUCUUCCCCUUAUCCCAUCUACCCCUUCUAUAAUCGAUAUCGGAUAAAGUCAACUAUCUCUCUCUUAUCCCUCAACAAUCUCUCCCUUAUUUCACAUCGGUUAUGGAAAGGGUGAGACUUUUUUUCACACUUAUAACUAAGCACACAUUUCCCACAUCAAUCCCUCUCUCUUAUCCCACAUUGGUUAUGGAGGUGAGAGUUUCUCUCGCACUAAUAACCAAGUUCUCUUAUCCCUCAACAAUUCCCCCCUUAUUCGACAUCAGUUAUGAAAACUGUGAGACCUUCUCUCGCACUUAUAACCAAGCACCCUAAUCCCUCAACAAUCUUUCCCUCUCCUUGUCCCACAUUGGUUAUGAAAGGGAUGAGAUUUUCCUCACAUUAAUAACCAAGUUCAUGGAAUGAGUAAGACUUUCCCUCACACUAAGAAUCAAGUUCCAUUAUCCUACAUUGGUUAUGAAAGAGGUGAACCUUUCCCGUACACUAAUAACUAAAGCACCUUUCUCUCACACUAUCCCACAUCGGUUAUAGAGGGAGUGAGACUUUUCCACACACUAAUAACCAAGCUUUAUGGAAGGGGUGAGACUUUCCCUCAUACUAAUAACCAAGUUCAUGGAAGAGGUGAGACUUUCCCUCACACUAAUAACCAAGUUCCCUUAUCCCACAUCGUUAUGGAAGAGGUGAAUCUUUUUCUUACACUAAUAACCAAGCACAUUUCCCUCACACUAUCUCACAUCGGUUAUAGAAGGGUUGAGACUUUCCCAUAUUGAUUAUAGAAGGGAUGAAACUUUCCCUCAUACUAAUAGCCAAGUACCCUGCUUCUUUUUUUCACAACCGAUAUGAGAUAACGAUAUGAGAUAAAUUUAACAAUCUUCUUUUCACAAUCGAUAUGGGAUAAACUCAAUAAUCUUCCCCUCACAACUGAUAUGGGAUAACAAUACGAGAUAAAUUUAACAAUCUUUUCCUCACACAUUGGACAAUUUUUCAUCCAAGUAUCUACAGGAGAGUUGUCUUAACUAGGUUUCGAUACCAGUGUUGGGUGCUAUUAGACCUUCUCAACCCCAAAGCAGUUCAAAGGGUGAGCCAAACUUUGACACCACAGUUGGGUGUUAUUGGCCCUUCUCACCCUAAAAGCAGUUCAAAGAGUGAGGCUUUCCCUCACACUUAUAACCAAGGACCUGUGCUUUUCACAACUAAUUUGCGAUAAACUCAACAAUGCGUAACCAAUGGAAAGCAAGAUUUUCAGCUGGGGUUUAAAUGGACGUUUAUGGUCAUGGUAAUAGGGCACCAAUCAAUUGAUUAAUUCAAUAACUAAUGUUAAUGGGAUGCCAAUACGACAUUUAUUCUAGGGGCUAAAAAACCUUAAUUGAAUUAAGAGAAAGAAAUGUUAAGAUUCCAGCAGAGUGUGUAUGGUCUGGAUAAAGUCGGCCGUUCCAACUAUUCAGUAACGCUGGUCCCAUUUGUUGUUGUUGUUAUGGUUGAUUUUUCUUUUUAAAAAAAUGCAUGCUGGUCCCAUUUGUGAUGAACUGUAAUCAUUGUGUUCUUUCUUAAAAUUGAUAUUUGUGAAAAACUAUGGCAUGUAUUAUGAUUGUCAAUUCUCUGCUCUAUACAAUACUCUUAGAGAUAGCUGUCACCAAAUUUGAAAUAUAUAUAUAUAUAUAUGUGCGCGCAGACACACAUACGCAUACAUAGAAUUGUGUUGUCCUUGUUCUCGUCCUCGUCACGAUAAUCAGAAAGAGGUAGGAAAGUGUUUGGAUAAAGAGACUUGUAAAAAGAUCAAAAGAAGGGACAUAAAAAAACAAACAUGCGUUGAAAAAAAGAACAAAUGCCGGAAACUAACAACACCAAUACCUGAUAAUGUUGUUGAUGGUAGAUAAAUUCAUUGUACAUCAUGAAGGAUUCAGUUAACAUCUGAGAGGCGGUAACAAGAGACAAUUCGGUGAAUGGUUAAUUGGUGGCUCUACCGGAGGCCCUCAAUCCAAAAUAAUGUCUGUUUUUUCCAUGAACGCCUGGCCAGUAGACCUUCAAGCAAGAGGCUUAGGCGUUUCAAUUAAGAAAGGCAAGUUGGGAUUACUAAAGGUACAAGCCAAAUCACACACAUAAAUAAACAGAAGUAUAUAGUCAUAUGUAGGGUUGAUAUGCCAUCUACUCUCGCAUGCAAAACAAUUGAUGAUUGCAUGACGAUUUGACUAGACAAUUUGUUUACUAUGAAUUAUAUGUGAAUUCGAUGUGCAAUUGUUUGUUGUCAAAUGUAAAACAACAUAUCAGAACAGUAUCAAAUGGUUUCUAUUCUUUCGGAAUCAGAAGGCUGAGGCUUUGAGCACGAUUUAAUUAGCUUAAUUAGCAGCAAUGCUAGAAUGCAACCUGACCGCAUGCGUCCAAAUUAUGAGUUCACUAUAGGCAGACCUAACCAAGAUGAUUCUUUUAACAAUAUAAAAGAACUGCAAGUAGCUUUAAUUACUAUAGAUAGUAUUGCAAGAAUGUUGUAUUGACCCUUUCCAACGAUUGAUAAUUAACUAUGUACUUGCAUAAUUAUGUAUGUACAUAAUUAACAAUGUAGUAGCUUUUGACUAUAUACGUACAUAAUUGUAUCCAUGAAAAGCAAAUACCCAUCUACUGCCUUAAUAAGGAUGUCAAUAAGAAUUCUCCCAAGUACAUAAUUAACUAUCAGGCUGUGGGAUUGGUCACAACUCGUUUUAAACAAACUCGUGCAUCUUUGGUUCCCUCUACUUGGGAGAGAAUUCUUGUUGACAUCCUUAAGUAAUAAUGGCACUCCCUUCUAUCUUUUCGAUUAUGUCAAGUAGACAAAAAAUAUUUCUAUCCUUAAUUCCAUUUAGAACUAUUACUGUUUUAUCAAGUUGUGACUAAACCAGAAGUGAUGGUAUCUUUUAUGUUCAAAAGAAUAGAAAAAAUUAUGGCUUUUGUCAUAAACAAACAAACAAACAGACAAAUAUGGGAGUGUCAACUAAACUUCCCAGAAAGUGUACCAAACAUUUGCAAUUUAACAUGUGCUCAUCAUUCUUGAGCCGCCAUGGAUUAAGUGGAAAACAAGUCACUGGGCAGAAGUUGAAGUCGUUUUAGUUAAAUCCUUUUCAAGUCAGGAAUUUCAAUUUUUAACUCAUAAUAUAGUACCGUGUAAUUGACCGACCAGCACAAAUUUUCUUAGUCAACAUGGGAAUUAAGUCAAGUUGAAGCAAAUACAAGUCCGGAAUGAGUGGCUUCUGAAGAUGAGUUGAUGAUGAAGCCAGAAGAAGCAGCACAUAGUUUCUGUAUAAGUUAAUGGCUGCGUGACUUAUUCUGCCACUCACGACAUUUCUCCUUUGCAGAAGAGUUUUUUUUUUCCCACUUAUGUUCCUCAUUGAAUUGACCCUAAUAAUAAUAUAUUCCAGACAUAUUUCACUAUCCCAUUGUCCUCUUUCCCUUCCACCAAAAAGAAUCAAUUAUGUGUUAAUCGAAGCCCUCUAACUAUUUUGUUCUAAUAAAAAAUUUCACACAGGUACAAUCCACAAGUGGAAAUAUUUUUUGUUUAACCCGUUUAAAAUAUGUUUAGAACCAGAGACUUAGUCCACGAAUGGGAGUUUGUUUAAUGAGAUUCCUGUUUAGUUAGGAAUCCUCCAAGAAGCAAAUCGAAGAGGGAACUAAAGAAAAGGAAUUACUCCUAAAAUAUGGUACAUCCGCUAGCAUAUACCAUGAAAAAGUAGAUCGUCUGUGAGUAGUAUUUUGAUUUGUACAUCCAAGUGCAUGUAGUAGUGGAUAACUUUUGCAUUACUAGCAUAGAAUGAUAUUGCGAAGUAGUUACUCUUAACUUUUACAGUUUGAACAAGAGUGCUGUUGAAGGAUCCUUGACUAGGAAACCCUGAGUGGUACACUUGUCGCACGUUUUAUUGGGUACAAGUACAACAUAAGGUUUACGAAUACAUAUUUUUCCACAGCAAAACUAUCACAAAGAACAAGAAAGGAGUACAGAAACAGUAGAAUCACCCUAACAGGCACCGAACUAGUUCAAUACAAAUAUUGGAAACCAUACGAGGAUAAUUAAAUUAGGUCAAUAAUGCACCAUUUCUUGGAACAACCACAGCUGAGAGUGGCUUCUUCAUCUCACUUGACAGCUUCAAUACCUCAGUCAAAUCAACUGGCUGAGCUUCAUUGUUCUGAGCCAACAUGAAAUUCUGCACCAAUUUAGCCACCCAAAGGCUCACAGUCGCAAGUCCUAGGUUCUUCCCUGGACAAACCCUACGGCCUGCUCCAAAUGGUGCAAGCCUAAGGUCAUUUCCUCUCACGUCCAAAUUUACACCACCAGCCCAUGGUAUGAACCUCUCCGGCUUGAACAUCCAUGGCUCAUCCCACACCUGAGGGUCAUGUGUUAUAGCCCACAUGUUAACCAUGGCAACUGUGUUGGCUGGUAUGACCAUCCCAUUGCUCAGGUGGACAUCAUCCGUCGAUAAACGGGCCCACGACAUAAGGGGUCCUGGUGGAUGCAGCCUCAGAGUCUCUUUGAUCACAGCCUGAAGGUAGGGUAGCUUAGCCACGUCUGCAUCUGUGACACUUUUAUCUCCCAAAACAUUUUUCAGCUCAUUGUAAAGAUAGGUUUGGACUUGAGGGUGCAAAACUAAUUCUGCCAUGAUCCACUCAGUUAGAAGUGCAGUAGUGUCUGUGCCCCGAAAAAUCAUUUCCUGUAAAUCAUGUACAUCAACAGGCAGCUAAAUAGUCACUUGGCUAAGUGCCGAAGAAUAAAAUUUUGUUUCUUUUGUGUUGGUCACCAGCAAAAGAAUCGAAUUCUUGAAACCAUACCUUAGGAACCAAAAAUAAAUUACAUUUAGUCUAAUGCAAAUACUGCAACAACCCAACCUACCUAAUCAGUCCUAAAAAGGUUAAGUUUUAUUUUCUUUUAAGAAAGGUCAUUUUCAGCGUGCUCUGGUGCAAAAGUCCAGGUAUAUACUGUCGAAAUUCGUUAAGAGAUAGAAAGUUAUUUCCCAGGAAGACCUUCAUGAUCCCUUUAGAAAAUUGUUUGCCAGUUGGCAUUUAAUUGGCAUGAAAGAAAUAAUUUACAUUAUCAAACAGAAAAAAUGGCAUGCCAUCUAGUAGUGGUAAAGAGAAUUGAAAUGCAUUUACUAACCCAUAGAACAGCGACCAUAUCAUCUUCAUCAAGCUUUUCUUCACCUUCUAGAGAGAGCAAAACAUCGACAAAAUCAGAAUCAUCGGAGACCUCAGACGACUUCCCAACGCGAUGUUCUUCAAUAAUCUUUUUAACAAGUUUUCUAACCCGAAUGACAAGAGCUGAACAACGUUGUUGAAUGCGAAAAGGGUCAUAAAAAUUUUUCAACCAGGGCAAAUGAUCAGACCAAUUGAAUUCUCCCAAGAGCUCAAACCCUUCUCUGACCAUUUCAUGCAAUUCUUGAGCCUCUUCACUAAGUGAUGUCGUUUCAUACCUUUUACCAAACACAAUUUCCAUUAUAUUGUUUAAGGAAGCUACUUGUAGGUAUUUUCUAAGGCUUACAAACCCUUGCAUGGUUUGCUCCUUGGAAAUGGCCCUUAACAUAGCUGCGCAUUCUAGCUGACGUCCAGCUUCAUGGGCUAAUAUGCGCUUGGGUGCAAAGAGGUGAGAUGAGGCAAUUUUCCUCAAAAGCCUCCAGUAGGCUCCAUUGGGAGCGAAACCGAUGGCUCGGCUAAACAUGAGCUGCUUAGCCGACUGUUUUAUGGGACGGCUGGAGAAGUGGGGUGAGGUCAAGAUCUCACGAGCCGUUCGUGGUUCGGAAGCCACUACGACGGGAGUUGAUCCCAAGCUGAACGCCAUGAGUUGACUUGCACCAUGGCUUGAAGCCAUGCAUGCAAGAGUUCGGUGAGCCAAGCCGUGGCUCAAGUUGAAUAAGCUGCCUAUAAUUGGAAGGCCCCUGGGUCCGGGGAUUGGAACUUGGCCUAACUCGUUCCGGCCAGCUCUCCAUGCAGGCCCUCCAGAAGAGAAAGCCCAAGCAAUGAGCCCUGCAGCUAGGAAGAACAUGGCAGUAGAGAACAAAAUCCAAAUGUUGCAUAAGUUCUGGGAUUCAAGAAUUGCUGGGAGUGUAAAGAACACCCACCAAUUAUCCUCCGAGACUGAUGAAAAAUCCAUGUUUUUUGGUUGGUUUGAAUGAUGGAGUGGAAACGAAGAGAGUUUAAUAUGGAAUGGAAGAGGAUUUGUGGAAGGAAGAUUGCGAGGAUGAAGUGAAAGGAAUAAGGCGGCAGUGCUGCUUAAAUAGGAGGCAUGUCGUGUAGUGGGAAGCAAUUUGAAUGGUUAAAAUAUUAGUACCAUGGCUUUUAUUUUUGUUUUCAUUUUUUUUGGAAGAAAGGGUUUUUUUUUUUUGGGUGGGAGGAGGACUGAGGAGUGGUAUGGUGCUCAAAAUUGACUCAAAUGACGUCCAAGCACACAUUGGACGGACCAUUAAGCGAAUGGCUGUGUUUGAAGUAUUGUUUACUCGGCCUUCGUCUCACCUAAAUGAGUUUGUAUUUGACCUUCCCUCAUACUUUACAAAUACCUCUUCACUUACUGAUCACUUCUAUACUUGGCAGAAUACCCAGGAACAAGUUUUUAUGUUUUCUUAUUCUUAAUAUUUAAUCUUGAUCUUGUGCAAACCUAUGAUGCCAACAUCUUAUAGAAUACUGCAAUUUGGUAAAACUAAAGCACAAAGAAUUUGUCAAAUAAUGAUAGAAUUCAGGAAAAACUCAGUUGGAAACAGUCAGCUAAGCAGAGUCAAGAGCGAAAGGGAAAGAACAUUAGACAGUGAAAGAAAAGCACGCCCAAAAAAAAGGAUCACAUAGCUAUCAUGAGACAUAAAAACUAAAAAAUUAAUGCCUCAAAAGGAACUACAUGCCAAGUAUCUUCUUAAUCUUUUCCAUGGACGGAUCAUCUAAUUACCUGUGAAAACCUCUGUUAGAAAGAGUCUACGGAGCAGAGUCACUAGAAAAUGGGAAGAAGUAACACAGGCAGUGGAAAGAAAAGGAGUACAUUGGCGAUCAAAAAAUGUGAGACAAAAGUUUAUGCCUCAAAUGUAAUUAUUUGCAAAGUAGUAAUUUCUUAAUCAUUUCCUAGGAUGGAUCAACUAAAAUAUUCCGUUCUUGAAAACUGACAAUUUUCUUGGUAAGUUCACAUUUAGAUGUAUACAUUCAGCAUCCAAAACGAUUGGAUUACUGAGUAUUUAGAAUAGUGAAUAAUGUGUGCCGGCUCUUUCCUAGUGAAGUACACACCACAGACACAUCUCUUUCCUUGCUUACAUCGAUGAUCUGCCGUCAAGACACGAGCAUUAGCAUUUUCUUUCUAAGAUGUAUUUCUGAAAGAAUUUAUCUACUAUUAGUUUUCUAUUUCCAGUUGGCUAGCCUAGGAUAAGAUGGAAAAGCAUUCCAAUGGGAAGUCCAUUAUCACCCUCUCAAAAGCUAGCUAGCAUGGUGAGCUGUGUAAUGGUUGACGGCACUGUCAUUAACAAUUGCAUGGAACUCUCUCAAUCAACUAAUUGGUUGUAUUUAAUCGCGUUUGGUUUGCUUGAUUAGUUUGAUUUACCUUGUUAAUGAUGCUUUUUUGCUCUUAAUUACCACUACACUGUCCAUGGAGUUGGAGACUCGAAAAUCUUGAAGAGACGAUGAUAACACUUAAAAUUACUAUUUGGUUUUCAACAAAGUCACUGGACAUUAAUUUCAAUAUUGGCAAUCAUUUAGUCAUAUUUAUUUACAUAAAUAUCUUAACAUGCAUGAAAACUUUCUUUAAUAAUCUGGUCUAUCUCUCAUACACACACACAUGCACGCACGCACACAUUAAUUUAGGACCUCAAAGGGAAGAAAUUAAGCCAAACCCUUGAUGAAAAUAGAUACACAUCUUAUUGAUUUAAGAGGAUAGACCAUUAAUUUCAUUUUAAUAUUUUGAGAAGAAUUAUUCGCAUUAUUUCCAGCAUGAAGUGAGGGAAUAAUAUUCCGUGGCAAAUAAUUUCUUAGAAAAUCCCACCCUACUUUAAUAACUUAGAUCAACGUUUCAAAUACUGGGAUGUACGGACUAAAUUUGAUCAAAAACUGUACACAACUAAGUUUAAUGCGAGCAAAUGGCAUGAAUAAUGGAUAAUUAAUUAACAUAAAUAGAAAAUUUCUAAAAGAAUGAUAAUAAAAAUUGUAGAUAAUAGAGAGCUAGCUGUGAGUUAUAUCAUGACUUUCCGGUAGAGGAUGAAAUAUAGGAAUCUUUUCCACUAAUUGUGGAGCUAAUUUUUGUCUAUGGUCUUUGCGAACAAUAGAAAAUGAGUUUUCCUGUAGACAGACAGCUGUGGAAAAAGAAACAUAUAGUUAAAUAUACAUCUUUCUUGUCUAAAUGAAGCCAAACGAAGAAUGAGGUGCCUUUUCCUUAAAAUGAUGCUUAUUCACUGUCACACACGCACGCACACGCACAAGUACCUCUGCAUGCACAAAAUGGCAUAAAUAAACUGCCAAAUCCUAAUAUUAAUUCAAUUACUAUCCUUUUGCUCAGAGAAAUGCAGCCAAGCCAGUGUACAGUAAUUAAGAACUGAGGAAAUUUGUCGGUGUGUAUUUUCACAUUAAUCUACCUAUUGCGUGGCAAAUAAUUAAGGUAUUAACAUCCGAAGACUUUGCAGGCUGAAGAGACUCGAUUAAUUAGAGAUAUUUUGGUGCAACUAUGGAUAUCGAUAUGAACCCUAGGUAUGAUCAGGUCGGAUUACUGGUAAACACAGUACAGCUAAUUGCUAAUCACCAAGAAAGUUUAGGCACCGACCCCUUCGAACUUUGAAUGUCACAGUACCCGUUGUGUUUAACCAGCUUCCUUGUUUCCUUAAUUAAUUUGACCGGUUGAUGAUUGGAUAUAAACCUGUCUACUGUCUUGAAGAAGGCAGAUACAGCAAUUAAUUUUUGUUAUAGCCAUCACAGAAUAAAGAAGUAAUUAACUAAUGGGCGCACUGAAUAAGAAGUGGGUCUAGUCACUAGUGUUAUUUUUUCUGUGGAAAAAAAAUUCUAGUGAAAGUAUUGCAAUUCAGAGGGGCGGCGGGUGGUAGUUUUAAAGUAUCCAUAAUUAAUCCACUUUCUUUUUUUUAGUGUGCUUAUCAUAAUUGAGCCAUUUAAGGUGCAGUAUUCGGCUACUUCACCUAGUAGUGUAAUGCUUGUAUUGAAAUUUUUAAGAGAUGAAAUCUAAAAAGAAGUUUUUUAACAUGUGCUCAAUGGGCAUUCGUUAACAUAUUUGAAUUUCACCAAACUGAUCAUGUGUAUACACGUAUUAAUAAUUAUUACUUCCCAUUAUAUUUAUACAUACCUGAAGUAUAUCUUGAUAAUUGUCAAAUGGGUACCCGUUAGACAUAACCAUCUAAAAAUUAGUUACCUUUUAACGCCCUAUGAGGUAACGAUUAAAUUGAUGACCAAAUGCAAAAUAAAAUAGGAGGUUUCGAGGGUUUGGAUCGUCUCCUCCCAAGGAAAUCAAUUACAUCACCUAAUUUUGUUCACAGGAUACUUGUUCAGACAUUAUGACUAAAAUGUGUGUGUGUUUUUUGGUUAUCCUGCGUUGUAUAAUCUUUAAGUGAUCUACUGAUCUCUGUUGUGGUCUCGUAUAGUGGUGGCUAGAAACAAAUGGAGGCAGACUACUGAGCUGAACUAAAAAGAAAGCAAAGGUAUUUGCAGAUCUUUUGCAGGAACUUAAAAGUAGCAAGUUGAUUAGUCCAACGAAGAAUAGUAAUCCCCAGCAAUCUAGGCAGCACAACACUUUCCACCCCGUUAAUUACUCUCCUUUUACUAAUAAUUGUCCUCAUAAACAUUCAUCCGAAAGCACAGAAGAUCACACGAUCGAGCGUUUCAUCAAUCUCAACCACGCAAUCAGCACUUCACGCAAGCGCGCGCACACACAUUUACAAUUCCAAAGUUAGAUCCCUAACCUAAUACACAAAGUUUAUCGUCAAAAUCAAUGUGUGUGUGCGUGCGGUUUGGCGGGAAGCCAGGAGGGUGGGUGGGGUGAUUAAUUUGCAUAAUCCCAAUUAAACUCUCCAAAUCCAUAUGCCGAAUUCGUAUCUUGCUUACGAGGCUUCUCGUUGUUGAUGCAAGUGUUCGCCUGACCUCCAUUCAUUGUUGCAUUUUCACAAGGUUAAUAAUUUAGUAAUCUCGAAGAUUUGACACUAAUCAUGCUAGGUCACUGAUUUGCGCCGCCGUCCUAUUUUGUUCUGCGAGCCUACGCUAGGAGCUGCACCGGGCUAAUUGGUUAAACGAGUCUGAAAUUAUUAAGUACGAAAGUCAAAGAGAUUUUGAAAAAUUUUAUGCAACUAUAAUGUUGUUUAUUAUAGUUUUUGUUAAAUUUUGUGAAUGUUUGUUGUCUUGGGUGUCUUGCAUUUCCGGCUGCAACUGUUAAUCGUUGGUCGACCGUUGACAUGCAUGCCCAUGCACGCCCGUUUAGGUCGCUUAGUAAGAAGCAAGAAGCAAAAAAGGCGCCUUGACGUUCUAUAUCACAUUAUGUUUGGUCAUAUGCACGAGGGGGCAUUGUCAAAACGAGGCAACAACCAAAAAGAGCCUUGAUGUUUACUACUAAUACAAAGUGGAUCGGAGGUUCACAAGUUGAAUUCUGUUCAUUUCAAAGCGUUUCGUGUAAUUCUUAUUAUAUUGAGUAUAAAUUCGUACUAUUUUAUUAUAAUUAUCAUUUUAAUUAUACAAAUUGACACAUUUAAAUUUAUGCUUGACACUCAAAUGGUAUGAGUUUCUACUAAAAGUUGUAAGAAUCUCACAAAUUUAUUGAAUUCAACAGAACUCAACUUCUGAGACCUGAAUUGUACUCUCUCCGUCCCAUUUUGAUAGUCCUAGUUUUUUUCUCACACAGUUUAAGAAAAAGUAGUUAAUUUUGUUAGAAAAAUAAAUGCAAGUUGCUAUUUUUCUAAAAUACCCUUAUAUUAAACAGAGUACAACUUUAUAUUUAUGGUUUAUGGGAACUUGAAUUGAUGGUCAAGAAGAAUCAAUUCUCAUUCGUAUAUCAAUAUGUUUUGGAAAAUAUAAAUGUAUUAAAUGGGGUAGGUUAUAUUCAAUAACAAUCUAUAUUAAAUAAGGUAGUUUAUACUAAUAACAACCUACAUUGAAUAAGGGUAUUUUAGAGAAAUUUAAAAAUAAUUACAUUCUUCAACUGAACUACAAUUUAGGACAAAUGAAAACAGGACUAUCAAAGUGGGACGGAGGGAGUAGUAAGUUUAUUUAUGGUGUUUGACGCAAAUGGCAGAUAAGCAAUAGGUUGGGGCUUGGGAGAUACUCAAGGAAACUCGAUUUAUGGGUGCACUUGCAAAUUAUUGCAUAUGAUGUGGUCUAUACACGGUAAAAUAGUCAUUGUAAUUUAUGAUAAUGUAAAAGAAAAAUAUGAUAUGUCAUGUAUAUGAUAUAAAAAAAUUAUGUUAUUUUGAAAUAAUGAUCAACCAUCACAAUCAUAAAUCAGUCUCUACCCAAGUAUUAACCCUUGUGGUCUUGGAGAAGUUCAAUUUGGAUCUUGACAUUUGGUCAUGCGUGCAAGAGUGUCUAUGGUAAUGCAAGUAGUUGUGUUUGCAGUACAAUCAAAUUUACCAGUAUAUCAUAGUCACGAGUAUCCUGUCAAAUUGGUUAGCCGAACCAAUAUACAUAUAUAUAUACACACACACACACUACCAAAGGAAUUUUUUCUCAUCGUCAACUUUAUUCGAGCGCAAAACCAUGGUUGUAAUUGGUGGAAAGCAUGUUGCCUAGCCAAUCAAUUUCUUGCCAUGAUGGGGAAGAAGCUAUUCUUUAGUUCAUCUUUGAUCGUUGCAUGAAGCUCUAUCUUUGAUCGGCCUAUGGGUGUGUAGGAAUAAAAUUUUGUCUGAAUAUAUAGUAAUUUGCUUAUCAUCUGUUGAACAUGCAUGAAAAGAAUGACAAAUAUCUCUUACAAAUGGUUCCACAUCUUGCAACAAUUAAUAAAUUGCAUUAUCAUCAAAGCGUGGUUGCAGACUCUAUCUACCGAGUGAUCAGUUCUGAUAACGAAUGAUAAAAUCUUAUUAAAAUUCGUAACACAUUAAUACAGUCACCUAUUUUAUUUUCUCAUCAACUCUGUCCAAGAUUACUAGCAGUAGACAUAUGACAGGACAUCUCAUAUAGAAUUAGGUUUUAUCAUUUUUGAGAUUAUCUAUUACAGUUAAGAGGUCUUAUAAGAAGACCACAUUAUCAUAAAACAUUAAUUAAUUUGCCCUGUGCAACAGUUGGUGAGAGUCGAUCUUCACAUUCACUAUCUCCUCACUUAAAGAACUGAUUUGCGCAUGUAACUAGUUGCUUAAUUGCUUAUUAAUUUGUAGAUCUUUCUGUUCUUGUCGCCUCCAUAAUUAGGUAUGUUGGGAAUACAAAACAAUAACUGAUCAAAGAAGACAAUGAGUAAUCUUCAAGAAAGAGUACGAUGCUAACUUGUAUAGAAGAUGUUAGAAGCAAAUUCUCAACCAAAAAAAAAAAAAAGAUUACAAGUAUUUCUAUGCGUUGAAGAUUUACAAUAUUACCUUUUGUUUAAAUAUACAAAGAGUACUGUAUAAUAGGAAUUCUUCCGAUAAUUUUGCUGUUGCAAGGUAUUUUAUUUCAUAUCUUAUUAAACAUUUUAUGUUUUAUUUGGUAGAAUUCUCGUGUUUCUGUCUUACAUCAAUGUACUUAGACCAUUAUUUACAAUUUGAACUAAAAUGGCUAGCCGGCCACAAACUAAAAAUUUUAGCUUCAUUCCCAUCAAUGAUUAAGCAUAAUUAAAUACUUUCUCAUGUAAGACAUAAUUUUUCUUGCCUUGCAGCAAUUUCUGUAGGUACUUAAUUUUCUGAAUGCCGUCAUCCUUCCCGUCUACUCUUGCUUUCUUCUUCAAGUAUGGUCUCUUUGUUUUCCACCACCAAAAGCACCAAACUUCUUUUACGAAAACCGACAAAUUGCUAGUGCCAUAUGAAAGAAUUCUUUUGCAUGACUUCUUUUUAUAUAUUGGAACAACAGAAUUUCUUGAUGGAGAACGUAAAAAAAUCAGCAAAAAGAAUUGGCUGAAGAAACUUUGGAGCAGAUUGCCCCAGUGCAAUUUGCGAAGUGACAAGUCUAGCAUGUCUUGCAAAAGCAUGCGCUACAUUAUUACAUAUGAAAGAAUUUCGUACGAAUUAAUCUACCUUUAGGGUCUGUUUGGUUGGAAGUAAAAUGUUUUCCUUGGAAAAAUAUUUUUCGUGGAAGUAAUUUUCCAUAAAAAUCAUUUCCCUUCCAUCAUUUUCAGGUGUUUGAUUAGCUUAUUGAAAAUAUUUUCUUACUUCAUUUUUCUGGUGUUUGUUUAACUUUUGAAAUAUUUUCACUUUUAUCUCUAUCUUUACUUUCUACACAUUAUAACUACAUACUUCUUCCCAUGCAAAAUAAGAAAAUUUAUCUCAUUGUUUAACUUUAAAAAAUCUUGGAGAAAUGUAUAUAUGAAUAAAAAAUAUCUCCUUAAGCAAUAAACAAAUUGCUGGCCAUUUAGUGUCAAAUAUCAAUCACAUGCAAUGCUUAUUAUGACAUAUAUCUUGCACUCUCACUGCUGAAAGUUUCUCUAGAAAAGAAUGUCCCUAUUAUACAUAAUUAAUUAUUAGCAUAGGAUGAGCAGGAUGAGAUUUUUUUUUUAUUUUGAAUAUACUAGGGGGACGGUUGGGUUGGGUUGGGUUGGGUUGGGUGGCACGGGGGAGGGAGUGUAAGGAAGAGCUCUUGGGUUCGAGUCCUCCUGUUUACACUAAAAAAAAAAAAGAACAUACUACAAGAUGUUUUCAGUAAGUUUGGAACAUACUACAGGAGGGAUGCAUGCAUUUCGGAAAACAACUUCAAUAAGUUUAGAAGGGAAGUUGUUUUCCAUAAGAUGAGUGAAAAUAUUUUACAUAGGAAAAUGUUUUUAGUAACUUUUGUGCAACCAAACACGGGAAAUUAGGAAAAUAUUUUCCUGGAAAACAUUUUCACCCGAAACAAACGGACCCUUAAUGUGAAAUACCUGCGGUCGAGAAUUGAGGAAAUCACUAGUAUAUAUCUACUUUUUUUUCUUCUUUUCUUUUCUUGUUUUUCAUAAGAAGAUCAACUGCGAUUCUUUAUUUACUUCUCGAUGACUCGAAUUCAUGACCUAUUGUGAAGCGUCUUACCAUAUAGGUUGCAUUUCAUUGUACGUCCACUAGUUAUCUAUUGAUCAGAAAUUAGAGAGGGGUGAUUUAAAUAAAAAAAAAAAUGGCCAAACGUAAGAACUCUAACUUUUGAAUUUUAUUAAAACACCGACUGAAACUACUAGAUGGAGGGGACACAGGCCUUACACUCGAACAAAUCAAGGACCAUAUAAAAUGAUUCACUAGAUUAAUAUUACAGCUUACAAUUAAUGGGAUUGCUUAUAAAAUAAUGACCAGUAUUUAUCCAGCCCAUUGGACUCCUAAAAUUAGUAAUGGGCUACUUGGAAAAUUGGAUUGUUUUAAGUUUGGUCUGAAUUGAUUUGCAAAAAUUGCAUUAGACAAAAAAGUAUCUUACACUCAAAAGUUUUUAAAAAAUCAAAGAAAUUAUUAUUAUCAUUUAUCAAAAAUACUAAUAAUAAGGAAAAACAUUUUAACGAAUCAUAAUCAAACUUGAAAGUGGAUAUAACGGAUAGCAAUUUACCAUAACACAAAGGCAGAUAAAGAUUGCACAGAACAUUUCAAUUGAGGCCAUGUAUGGUGUACGGGCAGAUGCUUGAACAAACACCAUGAGCCGCAAUUCCGCAAAUUUGAAACCAUAUUUGUCGCUUCAAAUGGUAAUCAGUUCCGGCCUUUUCAAGUUGGUCUUGACCCCGCUUCACCGGGCUUGAACAAUGAAGCUCUCGUGCUCAAAUUCGAGUUCGUACUUAAUCUAGUUCGAAUAAAAUGAAAGCUAAUUAUAUAUUUUUUUUCAAAUGAAUAAAAUAGGUAUUUUACUGUAAUAAAUAUAAAAGCACAAGGGACUUGCAUUGUAACUUCACAACGAAUAAAAAUUUAUAAAAAAUAUAUAUAUUAGAUUGAUCCGGUUUGACGAAUCAAUGAAUCGAAUAUUGAUAUUCAGUCUCAAUUUGGCAAGUCGAAUCGAGUUUUGACCGAUCAGUUUGCAAGCGAUCGCAAUGCAGCACUAAGUACGGUAUAAAAUUUCAUCUAGAUUGUUUGUUGCAUCAGAUUUCUUACUUGAAGUAUUGAAUUGAAUAACUUUUCACACAAAUUCAAUUCUAAGUAACCUAAAUUACUCGUACACAAUACAUGUGCUAAUAUGCCUACGAAAGUUCAUGACAUUUUUAUCCGUUAAAACCAUACAUGCCAAGCGCACAUGCACAAUCUUGACAUAGAAAAUGUAAGAUAGAUAUUUAUUUCAUCGAAUCCAAUGGUUCAAGACAGGAAUUGCUGCAAAAACAGUUCAUGGCGACCAAUCUAACACAAGGGAAAUGUUCAAGGUGACAAAUUGCAGUUUCUCAAUCAGAUAUGAAGCACGGAUUGACAAUCUUGACAACUAAAACACAACUUCAAUAGGCUCAAACCCCUUGUCAAUAGAAGCCUUAACUGCAUCAAUAACAGCCU
RNAcentral lists this long non-coding RNA (28740 nucleotides) under Coffea arabica (coffee). RNAcentral's name for it is "long non-coding RNA (CARA_LNC007033)". The record is from RNAcentral. Lineage: Eukaryota; Viridiplantae; Streptophyta; Magnoliopsida; Gentianales; Rubiaceae.